UGCCCAGUGACAAUCUGUUCAACGGCCGCGGUAUCCUGACCGUGCAAAGGUAGCAUAAUCAUUUGCCUUUUAAUUGGAGGCUAGUAUGAAUGGGUAGACGUAGAUUCAACUGUUUCUUUAUUAUAAAUAAAACUUAAACUUUAGGUGAAGAUGCCUAAAUACUAUAGAAAGACAAGAAGACCCUAUAGAGUUUUAGUAAAACAUAUACAUCCUUUAUAUUAUUACUUUGGUUGGGGCGACCUAGGAUUUUUAUAAACAUCCUUUUAUUUUACGAUCCAUAAAUCUCUAUUAUAGACCCUUAAACGGAUUAUUAGAAAUAACUACCUUAGGGAUAACAGGCUUAUCUUCCUAGAGAGCUCUUAUUGAUAGGAUGGUUUG
This 378-nucleotide ribosomal RNA is filed under the name Polyeunoa laevis. Its description in RNAcentral is "partial 16S ribosomal RNA". It matches the Rfam family "Bacterial large subunit ribosomal RNA", at positions 1860 to 2520 of the family's 2925-position model. The record is from RNAcentral. Lineage: Eukaryota; Metazoa; Annelida; Polychaeta; Phyllodocida; Polynoidae.